UGGGUAAUCUGCCCUCGGCACCGGGAUAGCCCGGGGAAACUCGGAUUAAUACCGGAUUGCCCCUCCGGCCUUCGGGCCGGCGGGAAAAGGUAGCUUCGGCCUCUGGCCGAGGAUGAGCCCGCGGCGGAUUAGCUUGUUGGUGAGGUAAUGGCUCACCAAGGCGACGAUCCGUAGCUGGUCUGAGAGGACGAUCAGCCACACUGGGACUGAGACACGGCCCAGACUCCUACGGGAANCAG
RNAcentral lists this ribosomal RNA (239 nucleotides) under uncultured bacterium. RNAcentral describes it as "partial 16S ribosomal RNA". It matches the Rfam family "Bacterial small subunit ribosomal RNA", at positions 118 to 351 of the family's 1533-position model. The record is from RNAcentral.